GACAGAGGUGCCAAGCGUUAGGCGGAAUCACUGGGCUUAAAGCGUGUGUAGGCGGAUUCCUAAGUACCUUGUGAAAUCCCACGGCUCAACCGUGGAACUGCUCGGUAUACUGGGUAUCUUGAGCCACUUAGGGGCGACCGGAACAAAUGGUGGAGCGGUGAAAUGCGUAGAGAUCCGGAGGAACACCAAAGGCGAAGGCAGUGUCCUGGGGAGUACCUGACGCUCAGGUGCGAAAGCCAGGGGAGCGAACGGG
This 253-nucleotide ribosomal RNA is filed under the name uncultured bacterium. RNAcentral's name for it is "partial 16S ribosomal RNA". It matches the Rfam family "Bacterial small subunit ribosomal RNA", at positions 524 to 776 of the family's 1533-position model. The record is from RNAcentral.